RNAcentral lists this ribosomal RNA (378 nucleotides) under uncultured organism. RNAcentral describes it as "partial 16S ribosomal RNA". It matches the Rfam family "Bacterial small subunit ribosomal RNA", at positions 527 to 896 of the family's 1533-position model. The record is from RNAcentral.
GUAGGUGGCAAGCGUUGUCCGGGAUUUAUUGGGGCGUAAAGCGAGCGCAGGCGGUUUCUUAAGUCUGAUGUGAAAGCCCCCCCGGGCUCAACCGGGGGAGGGGUCAUUGGAAACUGGGAGACUUGAGUGCAGAAGAGGAGAGUGGAAUUCCAUGUGUAGCGGUGAAAUGCGUAGAUAUAUGGAGGAACACCAGUGGCGAAGGCGGCUCUCUGGUCUGUAACUGACGCGGAGGCUCGAAAGCGUGGGGAGCGAACAGGAUUAGAUACCCUGGUAGUCCACGCCGUAAACGAUGAGUGCUAAGUGUUGGAGGGUUUCCGCCCUUCAGUGCUGCAGCAAACGCAUUAAGCACUCCGCCUGGGGAGUACGACCGCAAGGUUG